CUAGUGAUUGAGUUUGAUCCUGGCUCAGGAUGAACGCUAGCGACAGGCUUAACACAUGCAAGUCGAGGGGCAGCAUGAAGUAGCAAUACUUUGAUGGCGACCGGCGAAUGGGUGAGUAACACGUAUGCAACCUGCCUUCAAGAGGUGAAUAGCCCGGCGAAAGUCGGAUUAAUGCGCCAUAAAACAGGGGUUCCGCAUGGGACUAUUUGUUAAAGAUUAAUUGCUUGGAGAUGGGCAUGCGUUCCAUUAGGCAGUUGGCGGGGCAACGGCCCACCAAACCGACGAUGGAUAGGGGUUCUGAGAGGAAGGUCCCCCACAUUGGUACUGAGAGACGGACCAAACUCCUACGGGAGGCAGCAGUGAGGAAUAUUGGUCAAUGGUCGAGAGACUGAACCAGCCAAGUCGCGUGAAGGAAGAAGGAUCUAUGGUUUGUAAACUUCUUUUGCAGGGGGGUAAAGUGAGUGACGAGUCAUUCAUUGCAAGUACCCUGCGAAUAAGCAUCGGCUAACUCCGUGCCAGCAGCCGCGGUAAUACGGAGGAUGCGAGCGUUAUCCGGAUUUAUUGGGUUUAAAGGGUGCGUAGGUGGAGAGAUAAGUCAGUGGUGAAAUCCUGAUGCUUAACGUUAGGAUUGCCGUUGAAACUGUUUUUCUAGAGUGUGAUUGAGGCAGGCGGAAUGUGUGGGUGUAGCGGUGAAACGCAUAGAUAUCACGCAGAACUCCGAUUGCGAAGGCAGCUUGCCAAGCCACAACUGACACUGAAGCACGAAAGCGUGGGGAUCAAACAGGAUUAGAUACCCUGGUAGUCCACGCAGUAAACGAUGAUUACUAGGAGUUUGCGAUAGACAGUAAGCUCCCGAGCGAAAGCGUUAAGUAAUCCACCUGGGAAGUACGCCGGCAACGGUGAAACUCAAAGGAAUUGACGGGGGCCCGCACAAGCGGAGGAACAUGUGGUUUAAUUCGAUGAUACGCGAGGAACCUUACCCGGGAUUGAACGUGAGCGGAAUACGGCCAAAAGGCCGUAGCUAGCAAUAGCCACUUACGAGGUGCUGCAUGGUUGUCGUCAGCUCGUGCCGUGAGGUGUCGGCUUAAGUGCCAUAACGAGCGCAACCCUUAUUGCCAGUUACUAACAGGUAGUGCUGAGGACUCUGGCGAGACUGCCGGCGUAAGCUGUGAGGAAGGUGGGGAUGACGUCAAAUCAGCACGGCCCUUACAUCCGGGGCGACACACGUGUUACAAUGGUGGGGACAGCGGGGAGCUACCCGGCGACGGGAUGCCAAUCCUGAAACCCCAUCUCAGUUCGGAUCGGAGUCUGCAACUCGACUCCGUGAAGCUGGAUUCGCUAGUAAUCGCGCAUCAGCCAUGGCGCGGUGAAUACGUUCCCGGGCCUUGUACACACCGCCCGUCAAGCCAUGGGAGCCGGGGGUACCUAAAGUCCGUAACCGCAAGGAUCGGCCUAGGGUAAAACUGGUAACUGGGGCUAAGUCGUAACA
RNAcentral lists this ribosomal RNA (1489 nucleotides) under uncultured bacterium. RNAcentral's name for it is "bacterial SSU rRNA". It matches the Rfam family "Bacterial small subunit ribosomal RNA". The record is from RNAcentral.